Long non-coding RNA from Solanum dulcamara, 537 nucleotides. RefSeq lists it as uncharacterized. The record is from RefSeq and is a predicted model, not a curated record. The transcript is spliced from 4 exons. NCBI's taxonomy places the organism in Eukaryota, Viridiplantae, Streptophyta, Magnoliopsida, Solanales, Solanaceae.
AAACCUAAUAAAAUAGAAAAUCAAUGAAAUAAAAAAUAACAAAAAACAAGAAUAGGAAAGUGGGAAGCUGAAGAGUGCCUUAGCCGCGGCACCUCUCUUCCCGGAGCGGUCCUCUAUCUCAACCAAAUCGGAAUUGAAGCUCAAUUCAAUUAGGUGUAAGUAUUCUUCAAUCUUGAAACACCUUGAUUCGAUGUGGAUCCAGGUUCGUGUAGAUUUCGAGGAUGGAAUAUUGUUGGUAAUCCAUCAAUUUAACCUCAGCGUGGUAGCAAUUAGAGGCCUCUUGGAAGGGAAAAACUCUGGUUUUAUGAGUUGGAGCGCGCGUGGUCGACUUCAGGUCUGAGUACUAGCUAUCGACGUUGAUUCGAGCCAGCUACGAUCGUGAUCAGAGUCGAGGGUGAGCACAUUGCGUCCUGGAUUUACCCGUCUCUCUAUAUAUACAUUUUGCUUGUCUUUUGUUUUUUGAGACAACUUUAUUUCCGUGGUCCACUUUCGGGACUUGUACUCUUUUAUUAGCAUCUCUAUACAUAUGACUUUCAG